Molecule: non-coding RNA, 365 nt
Organism: Pelobates cultripes (western spadefoot toad)
Lineage: Eukaryota; Metazoa; Chordata; Amphibia; Anura; Pelobatidae
Source: the annotation of a GenBank genome assembly
AGUGGUGGAACAGAGAUGUGACACCACUUAUAUAAUUGGCCCCUGCGCAGGGACUGGAGGGCGACACAUGCUUCAUGUAAACAUGAUGAAGCCCUACCAGGAACGUUCAGAAGAGUUGACGGCUAUUUGUGCACCCAACUCUGAUGAGUUUGACAGCCUCCCCCUCCCAGAUCUACUGGGAGACGGUCAGCUGUCUGGAGAUUUAGGGGAAGUUGUGCUGGGAGACCGGCUGAGCCCACAGGAACGUACCGAGGUACAACAGCUGCUAAGAGAGAAGCAGGAGACUUUCUCUAAUGUGCCUGGGUACACUCCUCUAGCCACUCACCGGGUGGAAACCCCAGGCCAACUCCCCAUGCGCCAAAUCC